UCUGCGCUCAUUACUGUCGCACACUUCGUUUGGAUGUUAUUACGCCAGCCCAACUGCGCCCAUCGCGCAUAGUGUCUCUCGACUCCUCUACACACGCACGCCUCCCAAGAAGUCAACGUAUGUCACCUUACGCGCGGCGCGUGUGGCACGUGCCGUUACUGGGGCUUUCGGGCGGAUGCAGAAACGUCGGACAUUCGCCUUCGCAGGCAGAGGAAACCCACGUUCAAGCGUAGCAAGCUGAGACGACAAGAAGGGAGCUGCCGAUUAGCACGGUUGGCUACGUACGGUCGCGAAAAGAAGCUCAACGGACACAUAUACAGACGCCGCCUACCAGGCGGAGACGCGACUGAUGUGACCUGGUGAUCAUCUCCGUUUCUGGUCAAUCUUGCGUCGUCUGAGGCGCGGCGAAGGACAUCUGCGACAUGGAGUUCAUGUGGAGGGUGAUGGCCGUGGCGUGCUUGGUGUUCGAAGCGCGUGGCGGCGACGUCGACUGGGUGGCGUCGAUCGACCCCAACGAGGUGCGGGUGCCCGUGGGCUCCGACGUGAUGGUGCGCUGCACCCUCCUCCCCGCCGCCCCGCCCGGGAUGACGGCGCACGACAUAGUCUGGGUGUACGGCGCCCGCGAGCUGCCGCAGAGCCACGUGACGGUGCUCAACAACAGGACGUCGGUGGUCACUCUGCACGACCUCCAGCCGACCGAGCGUAGCAGCGCGGGGUCCCCUGGGGGCGAGCCGCUAAUGGGUGGGCAGACGCUCAUGUGCUUGCGACGCAAAGCGCCCGGCGACGAGAAGCACAAACUCCUGCGCAGCGCGGACAUCACCGUCGGAUGGAAGCCCUGCCCGCCUUCCGACUUCACGUGCUACAUGUUGGAUCAGACCAUCGUCAAUUGCUCCUGGCUGCCUGGUGAAUGCAGGGGAAGCCACAGGAGCAAGUACAGACUCAAGUACACAGUCGUGAACAGAUUGUGCAACGUUUCAGUGCCGUGGGAAAACCUGGCUCGGGACAACGUGAAGACGGCCGAUUGCUUGCAGACCGGCGGCUCCGGCGUGUACCACUGCCAGUUCGACCAGCCUCGCGUGUCGCAUGCCAACAACUACUGGAUGUGGGUGGAAAGCUCCAGCGAGCUGGGCUCAUCCAGCAGCAAGAUGCGUUGCAUGCACCUCUGGGACAUCGUGAAGCCGAGCCCGCCAGAGAAUGUGUUCUUCAGCGUUGGUCAAGCUCCUUCAUUUGGGCUAAGCCUGAUAUGGCAGCCACCAGCAGCACUGCCCCACAACAUCUACACCAUGCAGUACGAGGUGGAAUUCACGGCCAGCGACACCUCAAGUCCGCAAACUGAGGUGGUAGCAGUGGGCAACGACAUGUGGUACAGGAUUGACGGCGUGGAGGAGUGCUCCGUGUACACAGCGCGCGUGCGGGGACACGGAUACCAGCGCGAGGGCUUCUGGAGCGAGUGGAGCUCGCCGGUGUUGCACGCGGUCGGAGAGCUGAACCCUCCAGCGAAGGGGCCAGAUAUUUGGCGAGUUCUUGCUGACAACGAGACUGAGGACAACCGAGAAGUCACCGUGCUUUGGGAGCCCUUGUCCUGUGAAAAUGGCCGCUGCUGCGUUCAAGAGUAUAUCCUGUCGAUCAACACGAGUGGCAGGGUCAGCGAAAUCUUCGUCGGCAACGUCUCGUCGUAUCGACUUUCCCUGGGGCCAUCGCAGCACCGUGUCACCGUGGCCGCUCGCAAUUCCAUCGGACGAUCCAAACGGAACAUGCUGCUCGUAAUCCCAGCACGUUCCUACCAAGGGCCGGCACCCUCCCAGGUGUCGGUGCGUCCGGAUGCAUCGAGGUCCCUGCUGGUCACCUGGGCGGUGCCCGUGCUCACGGGGCGGCGCUUGCCCCCCCAGGGUUACCUGGUCGAGUGGGCCAACGUGUCGGCUCUGGACCUCGGCCGCAUCAGGUGGCGCCGUGUGAGCUCCAUCAACACGAGCGCGUUGCUCACAGAUAACUUCCAGGACUACGUGCGGUACAAGGUCUCUGUGUACGCAAGCUACCAGCAAGGAGAGGGGAAUUGCAGCAGCACCUACACCUACAUGAAGCAAGGAGCUCCAGUGGUGGCGCCGAGGAACGUGCUGACACACAGCUGCUCCGCGAGCGUGUGCGACGUCCGCUGGGACCCCCUGGGCAUCGACCACCUGCACGGCUUUCUCACCCACUACGCCAUCUACUACCGACCGUCGUUUGGCGACGGACAAGCAAAACGAGUGCUGGUGCCCUGCACAUCACCAGUGGAGGGCACAUGCAUAAGCAGCCACCGCCUAGAAGGGCUGGAGCCCAACACGGAGUACGAGCUUCAGGUGGCGGCUGUGACUUCAGCCGGAGAGGGUCCACGCAGCCUCACAAGCAAGGCCGUCACAGGUUUCCGUGAAUUCGUUUUCAUCAUGAUGCUCAUUGCCGGUCUAUUGCUUCUGUCCGGUGGGAUCAUCACAUGCAUCUGCAUCGUCAUCGUCCCAGCCAGAAUGAAGCAUGUAUUUUUUCACAAAGUUCCGGAUCCCAAAAACUGCAGCUGGGCAAGGGACAUUGACUUCAGCAAGCCCGAGAGCCUGCAAGGAUUCCUGAGAAUCACUCUAUCGUCAUCGCCGGACGUCCGCGAGACGGAGACGUUUUCAGAAAUCACGGUGGAUUGCGGCUGGAAACUGCAAGGGCAUUUGCUGGAGAAAGCGCUGGAUUUCGACGGCGGUUACACAACCACCGUUCCCGCACAUCUGCCCACAAGCCACGGGCUUGGCACCAAGGCGGAGGCGAGACGACCAAAGUGAUUCCAGAGGCGCCCUUGCCUUCCCGCGCACUGCCUCUCCCUGCCAAGCUGUUGGCUCUGGAGCAGCUACGCGCAUCCGCCGCCAGCGUCGCAUCAACACGCACCCAACUGCCGAGCUGGGCACAGUAUUCGCAGCACGAUGCGAUGUCUAACAUCGGCGGGGUGCCGGGACCACCGGGAGGCGUGAGACUCCCGGCCUCCGCACCGCUCACUGGGGCCUGGAGACGCACGUCUACGAGAACAGCGAUAUCAAGGCUGCGAUCAAUCCCACCCAGGCCUCGAGUGGCGGUGGCGGCGACGGCGGCGGUGGCCUCGCAAGCUCACUGCCCACCAGUGCACACCCCUUCAGUCUACAGCGGAAUAACAACUCGAACACGUUGCCACAGGGCCGCCCUGCGCUCGACGUUGAUGACAGCGGCGGCGCGGGAGUGAUGGACGGUGGCGUGAGCGGUGGUGGCCUGGAGGUGCCGGCCACCGUUUGGACUGGACGUCGUGAAACUUUGCUGCCCUGCAACGUUUUUAGUUAUCAGCCACAAGACCCUGCCUAUCACCUGCCCCUGAAUGGCAUUUACACCAACGGGCUACCUUGAGCGACGUUUUGGGGCAAAAAAACUCUGCUCGACCAUGAUUUGAUUUUUAUAACCCCUUGGACAAUGCCAAAAGGGACGGCAGCAUCUGGAACAAUUCUGUCACCUUACUAUUUUAAAAAUAGAUAAGACAAACUAAACGAUAGCAGCUUAUGGUCGUUUUUUUUACCUUCAUUGACUGACCAGGUGUCUGUGUGGUCUGAUGGCAGUUUCGUCUGAUUUAUGCGAGCAAUGUUACGUUCAGGUUUCAUAGUGAGCGAUGUGUAAGUUGUGAAAACUGUAAAUAUGGAUUUGAGUGCAGGACUGUCGAGUGUAAGUUCAAUCACUGGGGACACUGUAAUAAUGUUAAUAUAAGUGCUCACCUUUACUCAUUUCCAGCACAAUUUUCUCUUUUAAUAAGAGUAUCAGAAUUCUAUACAUAUAUGCUGUAUAAAAGAGACUAGUUAAUAAACAAUAGUACAAUUGUAUAUAUUGUCCAAACACUUGUUGAUUGCACAUACUUCGAAACAUCACACAUACAACAUAAUUUGUAAAUAAUAUUUUUGUUACUUACCUUAAGAGUUGCAGACACGAUGAUAUGAAAAGCCAAAUAUGAAUUAUCUUUGAAAUGAAGGUGCAAGUUGAAGCUUGCACCGAGUGUUGUUUUUAUAUAUAUUGUUUGAGAUAAUUUGUGUAAUGUUUUGAGCAGAGUGGAAACAUGAUGCGUACAUAACUACCUUGUAAAUAUCAUUGUUUAUUGUGCAUUCUUGUGAGUGUGAAACUGGACUAUUUAGUUACAUUGUGAUUCGUUUCAUAUCCACAUAUCUGUAUUAUUCAAUUUUGCGUCCUGUACCUUCUCUUCCAUUUUGGCUCGGAUAUAAUUCGUAAUAUUUUAACAUGUGGUCCAUAAAUAAUUCAGACUGCUCUUAUUGAACAGUUCAAUCAAAAUGGCAAACAGAACAAAGAAGAGCUGAUGGUUAAUCGGAGAACAACAAUGGACAUGUGCAAACAUUUGUACGAACAAUAGCAGAGGGGCAGUUAUUUAAUCUCUUGAAUUGUCUGCGCCUGUCCAUUUUAUUCUCAAAUGUUCAACUCAGUGCUUCCCCACGUGGGUUGCAACCUGUCCCUGCUUUUCCCAUUGGUUCGGAACAGAUGUCACAUUUGUUGGUACCACCUGAGGUGGCAUUACUUUAACUGGUUCAGUAAAUCGUGUGAUAAUCGUUCGGAGCAACUGAGUUAUCAAGUACGUGAUUCACUUGUAUUAGCCAUGAAGACACAUCGGUACGAGGAAAAUUGUGCCACCUUUGGUGGUACCGAUUUCUGCUCUGGCUCAUGGAAAAUAUUGCUCAUCCUCUUUUUGAAAUGGAUUUUUUUGAACACAGUUGCUGAGCCCAAAGGCCCAAAAUGCGCAGCAGUCAUCAACGAAAAAAAAAACAAAGCUGUUUGGGAUAAUAACACUCAACUAGUAAUAGCACUCAACUCACACGUAGUUUUCCCAUCCUCUGGAAUCAUGAUAUGUACUUCUUCCCAUGAUAUUUUCCGUUGUGUACCUCAUAGGUGGUAAGCCUACUUCCCACACACAUAAAUAUCUUCACACCACAUCUGAUUAUAUUUAUUUUACAACCCUUAUGCAUCAGCUUAUGCUUUGUGUUAAGAGAGGGAUUUUGAACGGUCUUAUGUGAUUACACAUCACUGUUCAUAACAUCGUUUUGUCGGGGUUAAAUCCGGUAAAUAAAAAUGUGUCGUUAAACCCUCCACCACCCGACACAGCCAAUUAGUAAAGGUUGUCACGUAAGCAGAAUAUAUGCCAAUUCGUUACUAGUACAGGAACGAAUUGUUGAAGAGCAAAUCCACAAUUUUUACAAGUACUCGGAUUGUAAAUGUUCCAAGAUAUCUGAUCAGUGUCGAAGAGUCGGCCAAAAUAAGCACGAAAGAGUUUUUUUUCUAGAAUUCCCUCCAGCAAAGGCCCUUCUACCAGGAGUGGCGUGACCAAAUAAUUGCAAGUGCUGCACCUUUGCCCUUCUAAAUUCAAUUGAUAUACUUUUUCCGAGACAAAUCACAUGAAAUAAUCUCACAAUAUAAACAAGUAUAUUCACUACUUGCACAAAUACCAUUGGCUUAGAACAUGAAACCAUAUAUAUAAUAAGCUGUCCUUUUGUAAAAUGGUUCUUUUUGUGAACAGAGAGAACAAACGUGACCAAUUGACUUUCACAAUGCAAAUUUGGGACAUUUAAAAAACAAAACAUUACAGUUAAACAGUUUUUAAUUGACAGGUUGAAGUGUUUUCCAUUUGGAGAGGAUUAGUAUUAAAUAAGCUCUUUUAAAAUAAUAUGCAUUGUUAUAUACUGUUUUAAUGAACGCAUUUACGUUUCAAAUAAAAUAACCAAAGGUCAUUCAAAAGAUUCAAUCAUGGGAAGUGUCGUACUGCCAGAGAGAACAUAAUUAGGUGAAAUGUAUGUUCUGCAUUAAUCCAUACCCAAUGUUAUAAUUUCAGUAAACGUAACACAUCCAUCGAUAACACUAACCCUAAAAGGAAAACAUAAUAAUGACCAUUCUUGCCCUUUGAAUGGCCAUUGCCUGAAAUGUCCCUGAUCAUAGAUUUUCUUUCCAUUUUUUCUGUUUGUCCUUUGCACCACUACCAACACAGUUUCUAAAAAAAAAAUAGUUCUGCCAUUACGGAAUCCCUCACAGUCACGUGUAUAAUGAUCUAAUACAUUUAAAGAUGUUGGUAAGAUAGCACUGCUCUCAUACAUUAUUGUAUAAUGUACGCUAAUGUAUUCCAAAUAAGAGUUCAAAGGCUUGACAUCUCGGGCACAAAAACGAGGACAUAUCAUGGGAAUAAAAGUCUCGCAGAGAGGAGAACUACAUGCCAACGCAUUGCCUUGAGUGGUGUGUUAUUAUUCAGCUGACAAAAAACCUGGAAUUUAAGUGUACCGGGAAGACUUACAGAUUUUACAAGGAUACUGUUGCCUCAACAAGAGCAUGAUCCUGUGGAAAUAAAGACGUCACAAUCCUAUGUUUACCACAUAGAAAAUAUCUUAUCAGGCAGUCAUGUUGAUUCUUUUAAAAGGAUGGUGGGCGGAACAUAUCGCUGAAAGGGAUGGAGGCCGAUGGUCCAGAAGAGUGACGAGCAGCCAAGGAAUGUAACUCCUUUGAGAGGGUGUCCACUGAAGACAUGGCACGAUGAAAUCCGCUUGUGUGCAGGUGCUGGAUGGAUGUUUAUGCUGGAGGAGAAGGUGGCGGUUUGAGGAGGCCUUCAACCAACGAAUGACCAUGGCAGAUGAUGAUGAGGCCGAUACUGCUUUUCAUCUCCCGACCCAUGAAGGGAAUCAUAACUUGGUUCCAGCACAUGGCUUACAUCUAUUUGACACACAGACACACACGCGCGUGUA
RNA transcript from Lethenteron reissneri (Far Eastern brook lamprey), 6758 nucleotides. It is a transcript of the gene named leptin receptor-like, with no coding region annotated. Lineage: Eukaryota; Metazoa; Chordata; Hyperoartia; Petromyzontiformes; Petromyzontidae. The record is from RefSeq and is a predicted model, not a curated record.